RNAcentral lists this ribosomal RNA (253 nucleotides) under uncultured bacterium. RNAcentral's name for it is "partial 16S ribosomal RNA". It matches the Rfam family "Bacterial small subunit ribosomal RNA", at positions 524 to 776 of the family's 1533-position model. The record is from RNAcentral.
UACGUAGGGGGCUAGCGUUGUCCGGAAUCAUUGGGCGUAAAGCGCGCGUAGGCGGCCAGAUAAGUCCGGUGUGAAAGUCACAGGCUCAACCUGUGAAUGCCGCUGGAAACUGUCUGGCUAGAGUCCGGAAGGGGCGAGUGGAAUUCCUGGUGUAGCGGUGAAAUGCGCAGAUAUCAGGAGGAACACCAGUGGCGAAGGCGGUGCUCUGGGCCGGAACUGACGCUGAGGAGCGAAAGCGUGGGGAGCAAACAGG